Molecule: long non-coding RNA, 3539 nt
Organism: Callithrix jacchus (white-tufted-ear marmoset)
Lineage: Eukaryota; Metazoa; Chordata; Mammalia; Primates; Cebidae
Source: Ensembl
GGAAGGCUGGGUGCCAGAGACACUCCACAGAGCAAUGCCAUCCUUCCAAGGAAAGACUGUCUCCAAAGAAUGAGAAAGGACAGAUGACCACAGAUUGUUCUGGAACAUAAGCCCAAGAGUCAGGCUGCAAGAGAAGGCUGAAGAGAAAAUUUGUCCCGACUCUUUAAAAGAAGGAAGUGUAACAACGUCAUGAAAACCAUGGAGAGACGGAGAAACUUCUACAGACUAGAGGAGAAUGAAGAAACAUGACAACUAAAUGUAAUAUGGCACCUUGGAUUGGAUCCUUGGACAGAAAGAUGGCGUGAAAGAAAAAAUUCAAAUAAAGCAUGGGGUUCGGGUGAAAGAGCUUCAACAUACAUUUAUUUAAUGCAUACGCAAUUAUUGGAAGAAUAUAUUUAAUAAUGCCACAACCACAAAAGGCUUGAAAGUCUGAACUCUGAAGCACUUUGCAGAUGAAAGCUACAUUUGCUACAAGCCAGGACAGUGUGAGAGUGAGAAUGCCUUCCCAUCCAUCAGGAGGGCUGGCUCUGGCAAAACUGGCCACUGCCUCUGGAGAAAUCAGGACAAAAAGACUCAGGCAACUGAUGCUGGAAAGAACUGCUGAGAGACGGUCCCUUAACAUCUGACACUGCUGUAUUGAGCAUGGAAAGAAACACAAUCCCACCCCGGCCUCCCUGUCUUGACUUAUUUGGUUAUCUUUAUCUCUCUAGGGCAUAGAAUCUAGGGCCUCUAGAGAUGACUGAGGAAAUGAUGUUUCCAAAGGAUAAGAGGACAUGGGAACUGAGAAUCAAUGAAAGGAAAGUGUCUCUUCAAUUGUUUUCCUUCACUUCUCACCUUCCAUUAUAAGACGGAAACCUGAUCAUCAAACUCCCCUUAACAACCUCUCCCAGGGCUCCAGGAUGUACAUACAUUAUUCUGAUUCCUCCAGGCUUCUGACUUUUCCCCACAUGAUAUACACCAUCGCCUCCACUACUGAAUUUUAUUCUGUUCCUUACAAUAGCUCUCAAGUAUCUUACUCUAAGCUGGUAUUCGUACCUGGAUCUACAUCAAUGACAAGCAAAAGAAGAAGGGGAAAGAGGAGAAGAAGGAAAAGGAGGAUGAGAAGAAGAGAAGGAGGAGUAACGGAAGGAGGAGAGAGAUGAGAAGGAAAAGGAAAAGACAACAGAAGAAAGGAAAAAGAAUAGCACAUGCAAAAUUAUUAAUUUGGGGAAGAAUUCAAAAAGAAAAGAAACAGCACUAUUUAUUUAAUGUAAGUUUUGAUACUGAAAAUAUAAGAAUUUAUCCAUAGGCCCUCAAAGUGCCAAGAGCUAAUAAUUAAUAGCUGGAGGAAUUGGUUUUAUUCACAGCAAGGACACUUUGGGCUAUUAACCAAGGAAGAGAACAUCAGAGGAGAAAAAAUGAGAACUUUCCACCCCCUCUUCCUGAACUAUCCUUUAGCUAGCACACAAAACCCGGCCAAGCAUUGCCUCCUGAGGCUAGAGAGGGUUUGCUUGUACUUUUUUGGCUAGUUAUGUGGUUUUAUUGCUCUAUAUUUUCACACGCCUUUGUGGAAGGGAAGAGGAAACGCAGUCCUGAGAGUUUGCUCUCAUGAAGAGGAAGCCACAGCAAAUCCUGAUAGAGGCAGAAACCCCUUGGGUCAUAUUUUUUCUUGCUCUGUUGUAGGAGGAAAAUACUUGAGUGACUGGGUUCAUCUUCUCAGAUAAAGAAGGACUUCUUUAUUUGGAAUCAGUGUUGACCAACUAGGGCAUUGGAAAGUACAGUGUAUUCCCACUUAGUGGCUAAUAUAAUCCCGCUAUAUACUCCACAGUAUAUUCCCACUUAGUGGCUAAUAUAAUCCCGCUAUAUACUCCACAGUAUAUUCCCACUUAGUGGCUAAUAUAAUCCCGCUAUAUACUCCACAGUAUAUUCCCACUUAGUGGCUAAUAUAAUCCCGCUAUAUACUCCACAGUAUAUUCCUACUUAGUGGCUAAUAUAAUCCCACUAUAUACUCCACAGUAUAUUCCCACUUAGUGGCUAAUAUAAUCGCACUAUAUACUCCACAGUAUAUUCCCACUUAGUGGCUAAUAUAAUCCCACUAUAUACUCCACAGUAUAUUCCCACUUAGUGGCUAAUAUAAUCCCACUAUAUACUCCACAGUAUAUUCCCACUUAGUGGGUAAUAUAAUCCACUGGAGUGACAUGAAUUAAUUAGUGGUACGCAAUUCUCAGAGAAAGUCACUUUAUGGGUUCUUCUAUUGUAUAUUUUUCAGUUAUUAUUGCUAUUAUUAUUACUCUAUUGUAUUAUUCUAUACUGUUAAUUUUUAAGGACCUCUUAUCCCACUCUCUAAGGUUAGACUUAUAAGACUUGGCAGAACCUACAGCUUAACAUGGAGGCAGGACACAGGGUACAUUCAAAGUGGAGAUUGGCACUGUUAUAGAUCCCAUGACUUUUUUAAAAAUAUGAUCAAAAACAGAGAAAUUAACACUGCAAAAUAUGAUCCUAUACAUUUAAAUAAUUCACUUGGAUGGGUGUGGUGGCUCACACCUAUAAUCUCAUCACUUUGAGACGCUAAGGAGGGAAGACCACUUGAGGUCAGAAAUUCAGGAUGAGCCUAGCCAACAUGGUGAAACCCCAUCUCUACUAAAACAUACAAAAAAUUAGCUGGGCAUGGUGGUGGGUGCCUGUAAUUUCAGCUACUGGGGAGGCCAAGACAGGAGAAUUGCUUGAACCUGGGAGGCAGAGGUUGCAUUAAGUCAAGAUUGUACCACUGCACGCUAGCCUGGACAACAGAACAAGACUCCAUCUCAAAUAAAUAAAUAAAUUAAAUAAAGAUUCCAUCUCAAAUAAAUAAAUUAAUUAAACAAAAACAAGACUCCAUCUCAAAUAAAUAAAUAAAUUAAACAAAAUGUAAGAUAACAAAAUUAUACAGAAAGUAUUUCUAUUAAAGUCUCAAAUCCUAUAUUAUCUUAACCUAUUGACUUUGCUUAGACAACAAAAAUACACUGGUCUAAAUUAAACCAUUUAUUUGAUAAGAAAAAUACACUGUUCUAAAUUGAACCUGAGAGAACCUUGGGAAUAAGUGUGCCAGAGCACACCCUUUUCUCCCAUCUCCCACUAUGAUGAGUUACUACCUCCUCAUUGCAGGUGAGCCUUCUCCUUCUUUCCACUUUGACCGUUACAUUCUUAGUUUGGACUCUGUCAUCUAAUUACUGCAGCUCUUGAAAAGUAGAGGAUUUUCUCUGAUUGAUGGUAGAAGUGGAAAUAAGAGAGAUUCAACCAUAAGAAAAAUUUUACAUGCCAUUGGUGAUGUUGAAGAUGGAAGAGCCAUAUGCAAGGAUGAGUUGGGAGAGGUCCCCAGCUGACCGCCAACGAGGAAGACCUCAGUCCUACAACCAUGAGGAACUGAACUCUGCCAAUAACAGGAAUUGAAAGAAGAGCCCAAGGUCCAGAUGAUAAUGCAGCUAGCUACCACUUUGAUUUCAGCCUAGUGAGACUUUAAGCAGAGAACCUAGCUAGACCAUUCAGACUCUGGACCUCCAGAAUUGUGAGAUAAUAAAUGG